GAUGAACGCUGGCGGCGUGCCUAAUACAUGCAAGUCGAGCGAACAGACGAGGAGCUUGCUCCUUCGACGUUAGCGGCGGACGGGUGAGUAACACGUAGGUAACCUACCUAUAAGACUGGGAUAACUUCGGGAAACCGGAGCUAAUACCGGAUAAUAUUUCGAACCGCAUGGUUCGAUAGUGAAAGAUGGCUUUGCUAUCACUUAUAGAUGGACCUGCGCCGUAUUAGCUAGUUGGUAAGGUAACGGCUUACCAAGGCAACGAUGCGUAGCCGACCUGAGAGGGUGAUCGGCCACACUGGAACUGGGACACGGUCCAGACUCCUACGGGAGGCAGCAGUAGGGAAUCUUCCGCAAUGGGCGAAAGCCUGACGGAGCAACGCCGAGUGAGUGAUGAAGGUCUUCGGAUCGUAAAACUCUGUUAUUAGGGAAAAACAAACGUGUAAGUAACUGUGCACGUCUUGACGGUAACUAAUCAGAAAGCCACGGCUAACUACGUG
This 497-nucleotide ribosomal RNA is filed under the name uncultured bacterium. RNAcentral's name for it is "partial 16S ribosomal RNA". It matches the Rfam family "Bacterial small subunit ribosomal RNA", at positions 28 to 507 of the family's 1533-position model. The record is from RNAcentral.